This 269-nucleotide long non-coding RNA is filed under the name Elaeis guineensis (African oil palm). Its description in RNAcentral is "long non-coding RNA (EGUI_LNC040908)". The record is from RNAcentral. Lineage: Eukaryota; Viridiplantae; Streptophyta; Magnoliopsida; Arecales; Arecaceae.
UAGGCAUAUUUGUCCCCCCCAUGAAUGUUUUCAGUGUUGAACCAACAUCGUUAUCUCAAGGGUCGGUUGUUGUUCUAACCGCGUACCCAUAAAAGUCAAAUAAAUGUUCUAACAUACCUAUUGCAGCCAGUUUUCGAUGAGUUAGCUAGCCAGAAGUUGAGUUGUUAUAUCCGAUCGGUGAAUGGCAGGAAAUCUGUAAAACAAGUUCUCUUGUCGGAAGUUGUCUGACGUGAGACCCUCCGAUACUUAAGUUAGCCAAAAAAAGGACA